Molecule: unclassified non-coding RNA, 155 nt
Filed under: uncultured Ascomycota
Lineage: Eukaryota; Fungi; Ascomycota
Also listed under: 1 other name
Description: sequence contains ITS2
Source: RNAcentral
UGACCCUCAAGCAUAGCUUGGUGUUGGGCAAGGUCCUGGGGGACCCGCCCGUAACUCGUAGGCGGCCGCCGCCCGCACCCCCAGCGUAGCAAGCUCACGCGUUCGCUCGGAGUCGGUGCGUCUGGCCCGCCAGGCAAAUCGCAAACCAUUCCAAG